Molecule: transfer RNA, 72 nt
Filed under: Lepisosteus oculatus (spotted gar)
Lineage: Eukaryota; Metazoa; Chordata; Actinopteri; Semionotiformes; Lepisosteidae
Rfam family: tRNA
About the family: Transfer RNA (tRNA) molecules are approximately 80 nucleotides in length.
Source: Rfam by way of RNAcentral
UGGGGUAUAGCUCAGUGGUAGAGCAUUUGACUGUAGAUCUCGUGGUCCCUGGUCCAAAUCUGGGUGCCCCCU